Molecule: unclassified non-coding RNA, 317 nt
Filed under: Hevea brasiliensis (rubber tree)
Lineage: Eukaryota; Viridiplantae; Streptophyta; Magnoliopsida; Malpighiales; Euphorbiaceae
Source: RNAcentral
AGUCAAAUAACGGCCAAUCUAGCGAUCGUCAUGAUGGGACCCGCGCACAUGAAUAACAUAAGCAAGCAAUGACACGAGUACCACAGGAGACCAACUUUUCGAAAAAUAAACCGACACCUACGGCGUACAUCACUGGAUCAUGUCUAACAACAAUGCAUAAUUGCAAAGAAGUGCUUAUUUGCAAACGACGCCGUUUCAGAAUUGAAGGCAAUGCUGUCUCAUGCCACUUGCCAUUUUGCCUUGCAUUUCUCGAAAGGAACGAUCGGAAAUUUCAUCAAAUUUCUUUUCGCGAGUGAACUUACCUUUUUUGAUAACAA